UGGGGGAUAUUAGGCAAUGGGGGAAACCCUGACCUAGCGACGCCGCGUGAGGGAAGAAGGUUUUCGGAUUGUAAACCUCUGUCUUCGGGGAAGAAUAAAUGACGGUACCCGAGGAGGAAGCCACGGCUAACUACGUGCCAGCAGCCGCGGUAAUACGUAGGUGGCAAGCGUUGUCCGGAAUUACUGGGUGUAAAGGGAGCGUAGGCGGGAAAAUAGGUCGCAUGUGAAAGGGCACGGCUCAACUGUGUCAUGCGUGCGAAACCGUUUUUCUUGAGUGGAGUAGAGGCAAGCGGAAUUCCUAGUGUAGCGGUGAAAUGCGUAGAUAUUAGGAGGAACACCAGUGGCGAAGGCGGCUUGCUGGGCUUUUACUGACGCUGAGGCUCGAAAGCAUGGGUAGCAAACA
RNAcentral lists this ribosomal RNA (403 nucleotides) under uncultured Acetanaerobacterium sp. Its description in RNAcentral is "partial 16S ribosomal RNA". It matches the Rfam family "Bacterial small subunit ribosomal RNA", at positions 355 to 774 of the family's 1533-position model. The record is from RNAcentral. Lineage: Bacteria; Bacillati; Bacillota; Clostridia; Eubacteriales; Oscillospiraceae.